This 715-nucleotide ribosomal RNA is filed under the name Streptomyces mirabilis. Its description in RNAcentral is "bacterial SSU rRNA". It matches the Rfam family "Bacterial small subunit ribosomal RNA", at positions 104 to 833 of the family's 1533-position model. Lineage: Bacteria; Bacillati; Actinomycetota; Actinomycetes; Kitasatosporales; Streptomycetaceae. The record is from RNAcentral.
GGGUGAGUAACACGUGGGCAAUCUGCCCUUCACUCUGGGACAAGCCCUGGAAACGGGGUCUAAUACCGGAUAACACUCCUGCCUGCAUGGGUGGGGGUUAAAAGCUCCGGCGGUGAAGGAUGAGCCCGCGGCCUAUCAGCUUGUUGGUGAGGUAGUGGCUCACCAAGGCGACGACGGGUAGCCGGCCUGAGAGGGCGACCGGCCACACUGGGACUGAGACACGGCCCAGACUCCUACGGGAGGCAGCAGUGGGGAAUAUUGCACAAUGGGCGAAAGCCUGAUGCAGCGACGCCGCGUGAGGGAUGACGGCCUUCGGGUUGUAAACCUCUUUCAGCAGGGAAGAAGCGAAAGUGACGGUACCUGCAGAAGAAGCGCCGGCUAACUACGUGCCAGCAGCCGCGGUAAUACGUAGGGCGCAAGCGUUGUCCGGAAUUAUUGGGCGUAAAGAGCUCGUAGGCGGCUUGUCACGUCGGUUGUGAAAGCCCGGGGCUUAACCCCGGGUCUGCAGUCGAUACGGGCAGGCUAGAGUGUGGUAGGGGAGAUCGGAAUUCCUGGUGUAGCGGUGAAAUGCGCAGAUAUCAGGAGGAACACCGGUGGCGAAGGCGGAUCUCUGGGCCAUUACUGACGCUGAGGAGCGAAAGCGUGGGGAGCGAACAGGAUUAGAUACCCUGGUAGUCCACGCCGUAAACGGUGGGAACUAGGUGUUGGCGACAUU